GACGAACGCUGGCGGCGUGCUUAACACAUGCAAGUCGAACGGUAAGGCCCUUCGGGGUACACGAGUGGCGAACGGGUGAGUAACACGUGGGUGAUCUGCCCUGCACUUCGGGAUAAGCCUGGGAAACUGGGUCUAAUACCGGAUAGGACCACUGCCUGCAUGGGUGGUGGUGGAAAGCUUUUGCGAUGUGGGAUGGGCCCGCGGCCUAUCAGCUUGUUGGUGGGGUGAUGGCCUACCAAGGCGACGACGGGUAGCCGGCCUGAGAGGGUGACCGGCCACACUAGGACUGAGAUACGGCCCAGACUCCUACGGGAGGCAGCAGUGGGGAAUAUUGCACAAUGGGCGCAAGCCUGAUGCAGCGACGCCGCGUGAGGGAUGACGGCCUUCGGGUUGUAAACCUCUUUCAGCACCGACGAAGCGCAAGUGACGGUAGGUGCAGAAGAAGGACCGGCCAACUACGUGCCAGCAGCCGCGGUAA
Molecule: ribosomal RNA, 478 nt
Filed under: uncultured bacterium
Lineage: Bacteria
Description: partial 16S ribosomal RNA
Rfam family: Bacterial small subunit ribosomal RNA
Source: RNAcentral